UGGGAUAAUUUAGCUCGGCCUGGUGUGGAAGGUCAAACCACUGCUAUUUUGCAGUCUGCCUCAGUAGGUGGAAUUGAGCUUUAAUUGUCUAAUUGCUACUCUGGCAACGGCUGCCAUGGAUUCAUUUUGGAACUCAGCACAGGUGUGCUCUGAGGCUGAUGUUCUAUUUUCAAGGACGAAAAGAAGGAAUCAGGGAGCUCGUGUCUUCUGCUUCAAGAGGAUGACUUUAAACUUUCAUGGCUCUUCUAAAUUAAGUGAAGAGAUAGCAAAGAUUUUAAAAUGAGACCCAAAGGGGAAAAGACGAGGAACACUCCCCUCUCCCUGCUCCAGCUGGAGCUCUCAGUGACUUCUGCGACCUGCUGUGUCUGGGCCAGCCACCCCCACCUUUUCCAACCCUUCCCGAGAUCUGACUGCAUCUCAGUCUGUUCUCCCUGGGCCCUGCCAGAAGGGAGCACUCCUGUGUGCCUGGGACCACCCACAGACUGCAGGCUUUGUUUGGACAGGAAGGCCCAACUGAGAAGAGGGAACAUCUUGCCUGCUUCCAAGAGGGGGUGAGUCACCUUGGUUCAAGCAGUCGGCUUUCUGUAGCAGGGAUGCACAGAAAGCUUGCCAGGACUACCUUACAAGGCCAGAGUCUGCUGGCAGCCAGAAUAGAGGAGUCUGUCCCGUACUUGGCUGACCGGCGGAGCACAGCCCUGCUGAGCUUUAUACAGAUUUAUACACACAGAUUUACUGAUACAUACAGAUUCCUGGGCCCACGCCCAGAGGUGUUGAUACUAUAGCUGCUGCCCAGCACCUGCAAAUCUGUAUUGUGUAAGUGUCCUGGGUGGGAGAGAUGUACAACCAGGCCUGGACCCUAAAGGGAUACAUACCCUUCAAAGAAGGAAGGAGAGGUGGACAUACAAGACAAGACACGUCUCUCAACACUGAUAUUAUGGGAUUAUUUUCUAGAUAUUCUUUGAAAGAGGACCUGCAUCUGGGAACAUUGAGUUGGACAGAAGAAUAGAAUUUUUAAAAAGCAAAGUCUUGGGAAAUAAGCAGAGCUGGUAUCCGGUUUUUCUGAAACGGACAGACCCAAGUUCAGUUCCUCCUCUUUACUUAAGGGCUGCGGAAUCUUGGACAAACUCGAGCCUCUAUGUCCUCCAGUGACAACUCUGGAAAAGUGAGGCCAUGGAUGAUGACAAGGGCCACCACUGAGGAUCACCUGCUCUAGUCACUGCUCUAACCUUGCAGGCAUCUGCUCACGGGGAUGUUGUGCAAGAAUCAUGGGCUUGGACACUUUGCACCAGGAAAAGUGCUCGGCCCUGCAGGGGAAGCCAUGUUUGGCUUUGUCCUGCAAGAUUCGAUGGAGUCUCCUAAUUAGGAAGGCGCCUGGAGAACAUCGAGAGGUCAAAUAUUUCCUAGCUGUGCAGAAGCCUGGCUUGCUCAUGUGCUCUCCUUGUGUGUAGGUGAGUCACUUCCAAACACAGCCAGAAGCACCAGCUGCUGAGCUGACGUAUGGCUGCCAGCCUUAGGAACCAGUGCCUCCUUCUCCAAUGCACACACAAGCGGGGUCACAGCCCACGUGGGUCCGUGCACAGUCCCAGGGCAGGAAUCCUGCUCCAGGGGAGGGUAGCUUCAGCACUGCCAAGUCAGAAAGCCUAAGCUCUCCUGAGGAGCUGAUGCAUGACACCAGGUGGCCAGCCAAGGUCGUCAUCUGGAAGAACGCUGGGAAUCAGGACAUGACGCUGGCACUGGAUGCCGGUUCCCUGUCUCCUUGGUUCCAAAGCCUCAUCCCGUCACCCACAAUGUGUUCCUUUUCUCCCUCUGCUCCUCUGCCCUCCCUUCCUCCCUCCUCCCCGCUCCACCUUCUAUCUUUCCAUUGACCCUGAGAGUGUCUUUGGAUAAAGCCACACAGGCUUUCCUUCUCUGUCUUUAAUCUGUCGCUAAUUGGGAUCAGUACUUUCCAGUUACAUAAAGAGUGCCUGUGUGGCUUCAUAGCAUAUGCUGACAAAUCAUCUGGCAAACGCGUUCUUUUGUUGUAGCAAACAGCACUGUGGAGGACCGUAGUAUUGGCAACCAAAUAUGUACACUCAUAAUGAAGCCACAGAGAUAAGAAAUCCAUCUCCACGCCGGUGGAGCUCUAGGGAGCCAGUCAUAUUAAAAAUGAAAAUAGCGAUCUAUUAUAUAGGAGAGAUGGCUUCAGAAUGGUUUCCAGAUGGAUCCAGGAGGCUGAGGGAGAACUGUUCAAGGUUCACAGAGAGAGAGCGUUCAGUCACAAACAAUUCACUUUGGAGGACUCUGCCCCAGCCUUAUGUAUGUAAUUAAGAUUUCAGAGUGGUCCCAGAAGCCAGACUGGGUACCAGGCUAGAUGACAGUAAAGAAUUAAAGCCAUUGUCACUUGAGAAGAUGGAGGCUUUGCUUAUGAACUCAACAAAGACAGCUAAGCACCUACUAUGUGCCAGGCACUAUCCUAGGCUUAUGGAUUAAAUCACUGCAUAAAACAAAUGUUCGUGCACUUACAUUUAGUGUUGGGGAUGGGACUUACAUUCAGCAAGGGUAGACAAAAUAAAUUACACAACAUGUUCAAAAGUGGUAAGUUCUUUGCAUAAAAGAAAAAUGGAAUGUGUAGGGAAUUGACAGUGCCAGAGGAAGGAUAUUAAAAUUUUACAUAAAUUCCCAAAGUAGUUAAAGGUUAGGUUUGAAGGAAGUAAAGGAAUGGCUGGUGCAAAGGUCCUGAGGCCCAGCACUCAUUCAUAGAGUGAGGUCUCCAGAUCUGCGGCCACCACUGGCUGGUGCUGAUUGGACAGACAAGAGAAGUGGCGAACUCCUACACAACCGUGCGGAAGCAGGUGGGGAGCAUCCAGCAAUGCAGCAUUAUGACAAGCUGAUGGGGCCUCCUGAUUAUCUGAAAAUUCUGCUGGGACUUCUAGAGCAGGAAGACAGGGGAAAAUCCAGUAGGAAGUCUAGAAUUCCAGAAUUAAAUUCUUCCCAACAAAGCUCAGUCAGUGGUGUAUUUCUUGUGCCUACUGAGUGCUCAGGUCUCGCCUGGGAAGGCACAUGCCUGGAGGUCCCAGGGGUCCUCCUUGCCACAGGAAGUACUUUAUUUAUUUAGACCUCUCAUGAUUCUCUUCUCCUCCAUUUUUGUAUAUUGAUUGAUUGGUACUUUGUCUUGUUUCAGAGAGAAUUUAAGGCAGCUCAUGAGGAUACAUAAAAUACAAGAUGGCAUAAAUUAAAAAUAGGAACAAAAGGAAAAGAAAAAUGAGGACAGGGACAUGAAAUGGAGCCAAGAAUGAGGCUAAAUCACAUACCAAAAAGAUGUAUGGGCCACAAAUUUGGCUCUAAGUCUAUAGCAGUCGAUGUGGAAAAGGAAAAAUUAUACAAUUACACAACUCACUGUGUCCAAAAAGUAAAAUCAGUCCAAGAGCUCUGGAAAAAUUAAAACACUCAUGCAUUCUGAAUGACAUCACUCUAUCCAUGCUCCUCUCUGGGGACUCUGUUCAUGACCUGUCUGUUGGAGCAAUUCACCAAGUACCCGGGGACAGGUGAAAAGCAAACUCGUCUGCCACUCAGCUGUCACCCGCCCACUCCCUCAACCACCUCUGCUUUCUAAGGAUGAAGCUUGUGGUGGGCACUGAAUUGGGAGCUGGAGAUAGACCAGGGCGACAAGCAAGUGGUGGCUUUCCUCCUGGCUCUUGAGUUAUUUGCAAAACACACCUGAACCAACAAAUCAUCGCAUCCUGCAUCACACUAUGAAGAUCUGAAGCAAGAAGUAGUCACUGGCACCGAGUCAAGAUUCUCAGGAGCUCUUUUCUCAGGUCCUGAGACCCAGCAGCAUUCAGCCUGGCUAAACCACAGGCGGCUCAGACCAGUAGCCAGGGUAGGCUGGAUCAGAUCCUGGGUUUAUCCUAAAUGCAAUAAAGGGUUGUAGGCCAGGCAGUGGCACCCAGUGAAAGAUAGCCCUGCCUGUACCUUGGCCAGUGGACGGGAAGAGGCGGAGUAACUGGUCAGUGAAGAGGUCAGCACUGGCACAGACUGGGGGCAGGGUGGGAGGCGAGCAGAAAAGGUGGGGGCUGGUUACGAUAAACUGAAGAGGGUUUGGGAUCACUCGAUUUGACAAGUAGGCGGACAGUUUAAUAAACGGACAAAGGGAGAAAGAGUCAAGUAUAACGAGAGUUUCCAGGAUGGAGGUGGCCAUGAUAACAACAGGCACAGUGGCCCCAGUGCCAGCUCACAGAAGCCAAGGCCAUACCUGGACUGGGCCCUGUCAAAGCACCAGGUAUGGAUGUCCAUGUGCAGAUAGCUCCAUGGGGCUGGCAGUGUCUUGCCAGCUAAUUUUGAUUGUAAAUUUGCCCGGAUAGGGGCCCUCCUGGAGAGGUGACUUGGUUAUGGGAGGUUGUAGUCAUCAGUGUCCUGAAGUGUCCCUCACAGCAAGCCAUUGGAGCAUGUAUCUCUUCCCAACGGUCUUUGCUUGCACUCUGCUCCCCAGCCACCACGAAGUGAGUAGCUUUGUUCCUUCUGCCAGGGUGUUCCUGCCCUGGGGCAGCCAACUGAACCCCCUGAAACCUGAGCCAAAGCAAAGCUCACCUGGCAGCCAAUGCUGAGCAUUCUGUCCCAGUGAGGGACACGCUGAAGAGAAGAACAUGAAACAUGUGCGGUCACAAAGCCCAUGCUUGCCAAUGUUAGCUUGGGAUGGGCCAGGGCUGUGUGCGCGUCUUGAAGGUGGGGCUGCGGCAUUUGGCCCAGCUUCCCAGGGGCAGGGUAACUCGGGGUCACCAUGUCGGAGGUACCUGUGCUGGCUGUUGAGGAACUGUGAUACCCUGUGUCUCCCAUAAGAAACGAGGUUCAAAAUACACUUACAAGCUGAUAGAAUGAGAUUAAAUUAUUUCUUGUUUGUGUUUUUGUCUCUGUCAAGUUCUCAGGUUUUAAAACUGAGCAGCUCCUCAGGUUCUCCAUCCAGCAUGCCGUAAGAGGGGUGCAGGACAGAGCCAAGGCAGAAGGAGGACAAAGUGAGCUAGCCAAAUGUCGCAUCAUCCUUCUGAGACACUCAGGCCAGGGCUGGAGUUGGCAGAUCAUGCAAGGAUAAAGGGGCAAGGUUUGGAAUGCACCCCAGAUUUGCAAGUCUUAUGCCAAACCACCCCAGAUCACUGGCUGUUUUUACCAGUCCCCAAGAAAGGGCAUUACUACCUGCCCUGGCGAGGAGCCCCAGGUCGACAGUUGUGUCUGAAAGUUCCUGUGGCCCAGAGGCUGUUAUUUAAACUCAUCACCUCCUCAACUGCAGUGAAUAAUCAAGAGUUGACCUUGGUCUUCUUAGAGGCCAUCCCCCACGCUGAACAAUAACAUAAAAGUCCUUCCUGUAGUUGUUAGACGAAAGGGAUACAUAAACUUAGCCCCCCCAAAAUGAUAAAGGAGACAGUGAGUCUCAACUUUCAUUCCCAAGAGUUAUCUUCCAUGAAAAUAUAAUUGAUUUAUCACAGGAGUCUGGAGUGAAACUUGGGAUCAUAAUUAUGAUUGGAACUGUUGAAUUUUGCAAGUAGAAGGCAAAGGACAGUGACAAUGGAAAGCAUACACAAUUUAACAGGCGUUCACUGUCAGGUACCUAGGUCUCCUUAUUUCCUCUCAGCUCCAACAGGAAGGAACUAGCAUGGUUUUCUGAAGUCAGGUAAAGAAACCAAAGACAGGAGGUUCUAAGAUGCCUUGGUCACCCUGGCCCACUGUGGAGAUGACAAAUCUAAUGGAAUCCCAGCAUGACUGAAGCGCCUUGCACCCAGGGUUGGCUUCCCACCCUCCCUCCCCCAGGACAUCUGCAAAAGUGUGGAGAUAGUUUGAGUUGUUGCAAAGGGAAGAGGGUAGAGGUGGCAGUGGCAUCUGGAGACCAAAAGCAGGAAUACUGUUAAACACCUUACACUGCCCUGGACAGGCCCUCAGCAAUGACUACAUGGGGCAAAAUGUCACUCGGACUUGCUGGAGGAAGCCUGCCUUAAAAUCCUCUCCAUCCAAAGUCUGACAGCUUGAGAAAGGUAAACCCAAGGAUAUUUAUUAUUCUCAAUUUAAUAAUUCACUUGAUUACUGUCUUGAGCUUCCUGGAGAGAGUUUACUUUCCUACAACAUAAUACACCUGGUUCGUUUUGCCUGGCAUUUCGCAGAGCUAGUGAAUUUUUUUUUGAAAGUAAGCAUUCAAGAGAGGCCCCGUCCUUUGUCUGGAGGAGGAGGGGUCCCGGGUUCCUGGGGCACCUCAGCCGGUACCCAGCCGCGCCUGGCCGUCGGUGUGCGGAGGAGGAGCUGCGCAGAUCCGGAGCCGCCUGCAGAGGCCCCGUCCUUUGUCUGGAGGAGGAGGGGUCCCGGGUUCCUGGGGCACCUCGGCCCGUACCCAGCCGCGCCUGGCCGUCGGUGUGCGGAGGAGGAGCUGCGCGGAUCCGGAGCCGCCUGCAGAGGCCCCAUCCUUUGUCUGGAGGAGGAGGGGUCCCGGGUUCCUGAGGCACCUCGGCCUGAGCCCAGCCACUCAUAGCCAUCUGCGUGCAGAGGAGGAGCUGCGCGGAUCCGGAGCCGCCUGCAGAGGCCCCGUCCUUUGUCUGGAGGAGGAGGGGUCCCGGGUUCCUGGGGCACCUCAGCCGGUACCCAGCCGCGCCUGGCCGUCGGUGUGCGGAGGAGGAGCUGCGCGGAUCCGGAGCCGCCUGCAGAGGCCCCGUCCUUUGUCUGGAGGAGGAGGGGUCCCGGGUUCCUGGGGCACCUCGGCCCGUACC
Molecule: long non-coding RNA, 6722 nt
Organism: Cavia porcellus (domestic guinea pig)
Lineage: Eukaryota; Metazoa; Chordata; Mammalia; Rodentia; Caviidae
Exons: 3
Source: RefSeq, a predicted model, not a curated record